Molecule: transfer RNA, 82 nt
Organism: Lottia gigantea (owl limpet)
Lineage: Eukaryota; Metazoa; Mollusca; Gastropoda; Lottiidae
Rfam family: tRNA
About the family: Transfer RNA (tRNA) molecules are approximately 80 nucleotides in length. Their secondary structure includes four short double-helical elements and three loops (D, anti-codon, and T loops). Further hydrogen bonds mediate the characteristic L-shaped molecular structure. tRNAs have two regions of fundamental functional importance: the anti-codon, which is responsible for specific mRNA codon recognition, and the 3' end, to which the tRNAs corresponding amino acid is attached (by aminoacyl-tRNA synthetases). tRNAs cope with the degeneracy of the genetic code in two manners: having more than one tRNA (with a specific anti-codon) for a particular amino acid; and 'wobble' base-pairing, i.e. permitting non-standard base-pairing at the 3rd anti-codon position.
Source: Rfam
GGUAGAGUGGCCGAGCGGUCUAAGGAGCUGGUUUUAGGCACCAGUCUCUUCGGAGGCGUGGGUUCGAAUCCCACCUCUGCCA